RNAcentral lists this long non-coding RNA (1035 nucleotides) under Nicotiana benthamiana. RNAcentral's name for it is "long non-coding RNA (NBEN_LNC027624)". Lineage: Eukaryota; Viridiplantae; Streptophyta; Magnoliopsida; Solanales; Solanaceae. The record is from RNAcentral.
UUCCCUUAAACGUCCAAACCACCUCCCCAUUCUGAGGACUCCAUUUUCCCCCAUUUACACCCAGCCCUAGCCGCCGGUCCUCUCUUUCUUUUUUCUUUAUCACACAAGCUCAUUCUCACCUAUCAUAAAUCCAUCAUCUGAUAUUCUCACAAACACACACGAAAUAUCUAGAAAGCAAGUUUGAAAUUCAAAAAUCGGAGAUCUAGAAAACCAAAAAAAGAGAGAAUGAAAUUCGAAAAAAACAAAGGAAGAACAAUAGAGUUUUGAUAGGUUUUUUCGGAUUCAAAUAAUUCAAAAUCAAAGCUGUUGUUGUUUGCUGUUGAUUUCGAGUUGAUUUGCCUGGGCUUCGAACUUUCCUUCCUCCGGUUCGGACUGUUUUUGCUGCUCAUCUGUUGAACUUCACCAACUAGUAGUUCUAGGAUUUUAUUUGUUUUUUGUGCUGCUGUUUUCUUGCUUUAAGUAUGUAUUCCUCACUUGUUCUUUAUUUCGCAUUUAUUGAUAAAACGUUGUUGUAUUCCUGAGCUGAUUUGGAUCUGGCUCGCCAAAGCCUCAAAUACUGUUUGUCUUCCAUUUUUUGUUCAAUACUUAAUGCUGAAUAUGCUUACAUUAAUUGUUCAAAUUAUUGAUUAGAAUUGAAGGUAUUGAAACUCUGUUUGAUAUUAGGAAUUUAUGAGGUGAUUGCAAUUAGUUUGAACUCAUAUGUCUCACAGAUUUAAAUUCCAUUCAAGUCGUUUGAAUCAUUCAGUUUAGUGCUGCGGUACCGUAGAAGUGGCUGAAUUCUGGAUUUUUAUCUUAUAAUGACAUGAUAAUGUAGACCUAAUCAUUUACAAUAUGUAUAGCUUGUAUUUCUGACGGGAAUUACUCAAGUAUAUAGGUUCUUUGUUUAAUGUUAAGAACAAUUAAAAGAAGUAACCUCCAUCGAUGGUUGAUAGUGUAAUGCUUUCUGCGAAAUUGAGUUUGAGUUAGUGAACUAGCCAUAUCAUCUGUUUAUUCGUAUGUUGAUAUUUAGAACUUUGUGCGACUGUUGCUGAUUUU